ACCAAAACUUUUCUAUUACUUUCCCAGAAUUGCCAUGAUUUCUCCCUACAUUGCUCCAAUAUGUAGUGCUUUCUCCAGUCCUGUUGCAGCAUUUUAAUAGAAAGAAGGAGCAGUGAUACUAUGAGCUGUUUUGGAACCCCCACCUUUAGGUUUAAAAAGUAGAUGGCAUUUUUAUCUCAAAUAUGACACUGCUUGAAAAAUAGCUGUGCUCUGAAAAACUUCAUUCUUUCCCUUAAAUGACAGGAUGUGAAUAUCUCUGAAGGUUUCUAGACACUGAAAUGGUAUAUGCACUGUAACUAAGCUAUAAUGAUAACAAAAAAGCUGCUUUCCAAAAGGGCAAGUGGAGGACAGGGCAAAAGCCUUUUAAGAUUUGUUAGUUCAUACUAAACCACUUGCCCAUCAUUCUUUUGUUGCCUUUGAAAAUGGCUAUUGUUCUGAUGUGCAGGGGUAGCGGCACUUGUGUCAUGAUGCCCUUGGGCAGUUGUGAGUUGCAGUGAAUUGCCAGCCACGGGAGGAAGAAAACAUCUUUUAAAACUCUGUGCUCAUUAUGUUUCUUGUGGCAGUGUAAAAGGCUUCUGAUGCCUCCCCUUUCCUCCAGGAGUUCUCAGGAAUAACUGCUGAUAUGCUGGCAUCUUAGGAGCAACUCUACUUUUCUUUCUGUUACCUGGAUAAGGAGGCUCCCUUGCCAGUGGGGCAGUGUUCAGUGCCCAAAACAGAGAGUAUUCAGUAAAUCCUGGUUCCUGGACAUCCUUUCAUUUUAUUUCUGUAGAGGGCAGAAACUCCUUCCUUCAGGCUCCUUACAGGCAAACACAAAUAAG
Molecule: long non-coding RNA, 818 nt
Filed under: Cyanistes caeruleus (blue tit)
Lineage: Eukaryota; Metazoa; Chordata; Aves; Passeriformes; Paridae
Description: lncRNA (ENSCCEG00000015035.1)
Source: RNAcentral